Cricetulus griseus (Chinese hamster) is the source of this 98-nucleotide microRNA precursor. Ensembl annotates it as microRNA 340. Its record names the gene Mir340. NCBI's taxonomy places the organism in Eukaryota, Metazoa, Chordata, Mammalia, Rodentia, Cricetidae. The record is from Ensembl.
CAAUUGUACUUGGUGUGAUUAUAAAGCAAUGAGACUGAUUGUCAUAUGUCGUUUGUGGGAUCCGUCUCAGUUACUUUAUAGCCAUACCUGGUAUCCUA